Molecule: unclassified non-coding RNA, 205 nt
Filed under: Hevea brasiliensis (rubber tree)
Lineage: Eukaryota; Viridiplantae; Streptophyta; Magnoliopsida; Malpighiales; Euphorbiaceae
Source: RNAcentral
UUUUCCUUUUUUUUUUUGGGUUGGGGGGUGGGGAUGGUUCCUUUCCACCUUCCAGCAAAAUAUACUUGCAGUCUAUUGUUUGUUGUUUUUAUGAGAGCAUUUUAAUUCUUCAAACUUCUAUUAGUUGCUAAUAAGAAAAAUAUGAUAUCUAUGCAUGAUUAUUUGUGUUUCUGUUUGAUGCAUCAGAAAUGGAUUUUCUUUCAGG